AUACCCUAUUAUUUUUAAAGUGAAGUUUUCAAGCUGGAGUAUUAAUAGUUAUAUUCUUAAAACUUAAAGAAUUUGGCGGUAUUAUUAUCUAUUUAGAGGAAUUUGUUGAGUAAUUGAUAAUCCACAAUUAAUCUUACUUAAAUUAUUUCUUGUAUAUCGCUGUUUAAGAAAAUAUUUUUAGAUGAUUUUCUUAAUAUAAUAAUAAGUAAUAUUUCAAGUCAAGGUGCAGUAAUAUAUAAGUUGAACAAUGGAUUACAAUAAAUUAUAUUUAUUAUGGAUUGUUGAUGUGAAUUAAUUUGAAAGUGGAUUUAAUAGUAAUUUUAUGAAGAUUGUUAAAAUGAUUAAUAGAUCUAUAAUAUGUACAUAUCGCCC
Molecule: ribosomal RNA, 372 nt
Filed under: Deroplatys rhombica
Lineage: Eukaryota; Metazoa; Arthropoda; Insecta; Mantodea; Mantidae
Description: partial 12S ribosomal RNA
Source: RNAcentral